RNAcentral lists this ribosomal RNA (253 nucleotides) under uncultured bacterium. RNAcentral describes it as "partial 16S ribosomal RNA". It matches the Rfam family "Bacterial small subunit ribosomal RNA", at positions 524 to 776 of the family's 1533-position model. The record is from RNAcentral.
UACGUAGGUGGCAAGCGUUGUCCGGAAUUAUUGGGCGUAAAGCGCGCGCAGGCGGUCCUUUAAGUCUGAUGUGAAAGCCCACGGCUCAACCGUGGAGGGUCAUUGGAAGCUGGGGGACUUGAGUACAGAAGAGGAAAGCGGAAUUCCACGUGUAGCGGUGAAAUGCGUAGAGAUGUGGAGGAACACCAGUGGCGAAGGCGGCUUUCUGGUCUGUAACUGACGCUGAGGCGCGAAAGCGUGGGGAGCGAACAGG